AUUGAACGCUGGCGGCAGGCCUAACACAUGCAAGUCGAACGGUAGCACAGAGAGCUUGCUCUCGGGUGACGAGUGGCGGACGGGUGAGUAAUGUCUGGGAAACUGCCCGAUGGAGGGGGAUAACUACUGGAAACGGUAGCUAAUACCGCACAAUGUCGCAAGACCAAAGAGGGGGACCUUCGGGCCUCUUGCCAUCGGAUGUGCCCAGAUGGGAUUAGCUAGUUGGUGAGGUAAUGGCUCACCAAGGCGACAAUCCCUAGCUGGUCUGAGAGGAUGACCAGCCACACUGGAACUGAGACACGGUCCAGACUCCUACGGGAGGCAGCAGUGGGGAAUAUUGCACAAUGGGCGCAAGCCUGAUGCAGCCAUGCCGCGUGUGUGAAGAAGGCCUUCGGGUUGUAAAGCACUUUCAGCGGGGAGGAAGGCAAUACGGUUAAUAACCGUGUUGAUUGACGUUACCCGCAGAAGAAGCACCGGCUAACUCCGUG
RNAcentral lists this ribosomal RNA (488 nucleotides) under uncultured bacterium. RNAcentral's name for it is "partial 16S ribosomal RNA". It matches the Rfam family "Bacterial small subunit ribosomal RNA", at positions 30 to 507 of the family's 1533-position model. The record is from RNAcentral.